UUGUACAAGUGAUAGCAAAGGAUGUGUCUGUAACCAUGGAUGGGAUAAAUCAUGAGCUUCAGUGUGAAAAGCAGCAGGAACUUAUGAUAGACUGCUUUAUAUCACAAUCCCGCCAUGUUGAAGUGGAGAGAGAGCUGGAACCUUGGGUUCCUGAUGAAGAUGACCGUCAAUGCCCUGAAUUAGAGAAUAUAUUUGAUGGCCCUUGGAAUAG
Molecule: unclassified non-coding RNA, 211 nt
Filed under: Hevea brasiliensis (rubber tree)
Lineage: Eukaryota; Viridiplantae; Streptophyta; Magnoliopsida; Malpighiales; Euphorbiaceae
Source: RNAcentral